AAUAUUGCGCAAUGGACGGAAGUUUGUCGCCGCGCCGCCGCGUGUGCGGUGAAGGCCUNCGGGGCNUNUAGCUCUGUCCUUGGGGNGGAAGGUCUUCGGGCUUGACGGUACCCUAGAAUCAAGCGGCGGCUAAAUACGUGCCAGCAGCCGCGGUAAUACGUAGGGGGCGAGCGUUGUCCGGAAUUACUGGGCGUAAAGGGUGCGUAGGCGGCCCUUUAAGUCAGAUGUGAAAGACCAAGGCUUAACCGUGGGAUUGCAUUUGAGACUGGAGGGCUUGAGUGACGGAGAGGGUAGUGAAAUUCCCAGAGUAGCGGUGAAAUGCGUAGAUAAUGGGAGGAACACCAGUGGCGAAGGCGACUACCUGGACGAUAACUGACGCUGAGGCACGAAAGCUAGGGGAGCAAAC
Molecule: ribosomal RNA, 406 nt
Filed under: uncultured bacterium
Lineage: Bacteria
Description: partial 16S ribosomal RNA
Rfam family: Bacterial small subunit ribosomal RNA
Source: RNAcentral